Molecule: ribosomal RNA, 305 nt
Filed under: uncultured bacterium
Lineage: Bacteria
Description: bacterial SSU rRNA
Rfam family: Bacterial small subunit ribosomal RNA
Source: RNAcentral
GUGCCUACGGGGGGCAGCAGUGAGGAAUAUUGGUCAAUGGGCGAGAGCCUGAACCAGCCAAGUCGCGUGAAGGAUGACGGCCCUACGGGUUGUAAACUUCUUUUGUCAGGGAGCAAUUGGGUCCACGCGUGGGCUUAGCGAGAGUACCUGAAGAAAAAGCAUCGGCUAACUCCGUGCCAGCAGCCGCGGUAAUACGGAGGAUGCGAGCGUUAUCCGGAUUUAUUGGGUUUAAAGGGUGCGCAGGCGGGAGAUCAAGUCAGCGGUAAAAUGUCGGGGCUCACCCCCGGCCGGCCGUGGAAACUGGG